GGGGAAUAUUGCGCAAUGGGGGAAACCCUGACGCAGCAAUACCGCGUGAGUGAAGAAGGUUUUCGGAUCGUAAAGCUCUGUUAUUGGGGAAGAAAAAAAGACGGUACCCAAGAAGAAAGUCCCGGCUAACUACGUGCCAGCAGCCGCGGUAAUACGUAGGGGACAAGCGUUGUCCGGAUUUACUGGGUGUAAAGGGCGUGCAGCCGGGAAGGCAAGUCAGAUGUGAAAUCUGGAGGCUCAACCUCCAAACUGCAUUUGAAACUGCUUUUCUUGAGUAUCGGAGAGGCAAGUGGAAUUCCUAGUGUAGCGGUGAAAUGCGUAGAUAUUAGGAGGAACACCGGUGGCGAAGGCGGCUUGCUGGACAAAUACUGACGCUGAGGUGCGAAAGCGUGGGGAGCAAACA
This 403-nucleotide ribosomal RNA is filed under the name uncultured Acetobacterium sp. Its description in RNAcentral is "bacterial SSU rRNA". It matches the Rfam family "Bacterial small subunit ribosomal RNA", at positions 356 to 774 of the family's 1533-position model. The record is from RNAcentral. Lineage: Bacteria; Bacillati; Bacillota; Clostridia; Eubacteriales; Eubacteriaceae.